Long non-coding RNA from Cyprinus carpio carpio, 595 nucleotides. The record is from Ensembl. NCBI's taxonomy places the organism in Eukaryota, Metazoa, Chordata, Actinopteri, Cypriniformes, Cyprinidae.
GUAUUUAUAUUUAUUUAUUUUAAGAUGAAAUGUGACCUGGACAAGUGAGCUUUAUAUGCGUGUUCUUUUGUGUGCUUAUACACUAAGGUAUAAUGUGUUUAUGGUCUCUUUUUUGUCCUUUUUAGGCAUUCUUUGUUGUACCAAAAACAGCUCUGUGUUCCAUGGAAAUAAAAACAGCAUUUGGAUUUGGAACAACAUGAAACAGCACACAAGUUCUUGGCAGAAGCCCCACCCUGUUUGGCAGAGGGGUGUGUUCACCCAUUGUCCCCUCCUCCAUUGUCACCUUCGGUAUUCUCAUCCGUGUUUUACAUCCUCGUCCUCCACAGAGCAGCUUGGCGUAAGCUGACCUGAAGUCUCUAUUGAGUGUGGCGUAAAGUACUGGGUUUAGGGCAGAGUUUGCAUAUCCUAGCCAAAGCACCACAGACUGCACAGUUUGCGGCGGGUUAUCUUCGUUGCUUAUCCCCAUUAUCAUAAAAAAAGUGAAAUACGGGAACCAGCACACCACGAAAGCACCAAGCACCACUGCAAGCGUCACCAUGGCUUUGUGUUCACGCAGGGUGAGCAUCAUCACUCCUGGUGAAGACGAAGAACACCG